Unclassified non-coding RNA from Pongo abelii (Sumatran orangutan), 156 nucleotides. It matches the Rfam family "Metazoan signal recognition particle RNA". Rfam says of the family: The signal recognition particle (SRP) is a universally conserved ribonucleoprotein. It is involved in the co-translational targeting of proteins to membranes. The eukaryotic SRP consists of a 300-nucleotide 7S RNA and six proteins: SRPs 72, 68, 54, 19, 14, and 9. The record is from Ensembl. NCBI's taxonomy places the organism in Eukaryota, Metazoa, Chordata, Mammalia, Primates, Hominidae.
UGCCAACCAGGUGUCUGCACUGUGUUCGGCAUCAAUAUGUGACCUUCUGGGAGCAGGGGGCCACCAGGUUGCCUAAGGAUGAAUGAACUGACCCAGAUCAGAAAGGGAGCAGGUCAGGACUCCCGCACUCACCAGUAGUGGGACUAUGCCUGGGCA